Molecule: long non-coding RNA, 949 nt
Filed under: Homo sapiens (human)
Lineage: Eukaryota; Metazoa; Chordata; Mammalia; Primates; Hominidae
Description: MIR181A1 host gene
Source: RNAcentral
AGAACUGCAGAUAGUACAGCUUCCACAGGAGCAAGGGAUGUCUGAGCACAAGUGGCUGAGUUCCGAGUGACUUUAUGAAGCACUUUCUACCUUCCUCUCCGGCAUGAAAACAGGGAUUCUGCACCUGCAUCAUGGACAGUCUGGCAAAAGCCUCUGCUCUGCCUCCGGGGACAAGAAACUAGAGCAAAUAACCGUUUUGAAAUUAGAUCCUGGCAAAAUUACCAACAAUCAAUGAUGGAAACUGAAGGGAGAUUGAUUUAAAUCUUCAAUGACAGUUGUACAGAAGUUGAAGAAACACGUCAUCUUUCCAAAGAAGAGUGAGUAGCUUGGUUGGUGGUACCCUAAAAUUAGGGCAUGAUUAAGGUCUCGCUCUGCCACCCAGGCUAGGAGUGCAGUAGAGUGACUACAGUUCACAGCAGACUCAACCUUCCAGGCUCAAGCAAUCCUCUCACCUCGGCCUCCCAAGUACCUGGGACUACAGGCACACUCCACCAUUCCCAGCUAAUUUUUGUAUUUUUUGUAGAGACAUGGUUUUGACAUAUUGUCCAGGCUGGUCUUUUACUGUCAAAUUGCUAUAUUUUAUUGCUUUUGUUUUUGAAUAUUUUUGAUCCAUGAUUGAGUCCAUGAACAUGGAACCUGUGGACAUGGAGGCCCAACAAUAGUACUUAAUGUCUUUCUAACACAGCUACCUUAUGAACUCUGGAAAAAAUUGUAUGCCAGCCAAAGCAGUGGAACAACCAUAUUCUACUCACUGGAUUGUCCUCAACUGUUCAACAAUACCUCCCAAACUUGUUCCUGACUUCCGCCCAACAUGCAAUGACUCCAUUCUCAUUGUGCUCUUACCUGUUUCACUUAGUUGGAUUAUUUCUGUUCAAAAAUAUGUUUGAUUUUUAAAACUCAGGCUUUCACAGCUUUUAAAAGUUGUAUAAACCACUGUAUUUGUUUGAUA